CUGCGGUAUUUUCAUUUUGACGUGAUGAUGAUGAUGCUAAUAAUGGUACUUUUGACAUGCAAUCCGCCGCCUCGCAGGUGCUUUCGGUGCUUUUGUCUUCGGUGGUGCUUUCGUCCUUGGCGUCCGUAAUUGGUUGUGAAUCAGAGUCAUCUGUUAUUCUUUGGGCUCCCAACUCAACCUCUGAUCUUAGAUCUACUCCAUUGCAGUUUCUGCAAUCUGCUUCCUUGCCAGCUGACCAAGUCUCCGCUAUGAUUGUUUCCGUCUUUGGAUGCUCCUGAAAACCAUUCCAUGCAAGUCAGGUAUAUUCUUGGUGAUCAUGGUAGUCUGUAAUUUAUUAACAGCAACUUUUAACCUGCAUUGCCUCGUAGAAAUACUGGCAUAAAAAUGUAGGUGAACAAGAUUGAGAUUGAUCGUCAAAUUUUGAUUGUCAUGGAACUAAUUAACCUGAUAAAUAGUAUGGCAAUGUGAAAAUAGCUGACAACAUUACUAGAGACCGAGCAAUGGAAUUCCAUUUUAAAAAUUGAACAGGGAAACAUCAAAAUGAGUAAACAACACAUUUGCUCAUAGACAAUGAUAAAGCCCUUUGGGGACUGGAGGUGUUACAGCAGAGUAUUGAUGUAGAAUUUGUAC
Molecule: long non-coding RNA, 630 nt
Filed under: Coffea arabica (coffee)
Lineage: Eukaryota; Viridiplantae; Streptophyta; Magnoliopsida; Gentianales; Rubiaceae
Description: long non-coding RNA (CARA_LNC002758)
Source: RNAcentral